This 198-nucleotide ribosomal RNA is filed under the name uncultured bacterium. RNAcentral describes it as "partial 16S ribosomal RNA". It matches the Rfam family "Bacterial small subunit ribosomal RNA", at positions 328 to 539 of the family's 1533-position model. The record is from RNAcentral.
ACGCUCGACACCUACGAGAGGCAGCAGUGGGGAAUAUUGCACAAUGGGGGAAACCCUGAUGCAGCAACGCCGCGUGAAGGAAGACGGUUUUCGGAUUGUAAACUUCUGUUCUUAGUGAAGAUAGUGACGGUAGCUAAGGAGCAAGCCACGGCUAACUACGUGCCAACAGCCGCGGUAAUCUGAGCGGGCUGGCAAGGC